RNAcentral lists this transfer RNA (86 nucleotides) under Opitutaceae bacterium. Its description in RNAcentral is "tRNA-Leu". It matches the Rfam family "tRNA". Rfam says of the family: Transfer RNA (tRNA) molecules are approximately 80 nucleotides in length. Their secondary structure includes four short double-helical elements and three loops (D, anti-codon, and T loops). Further hydrogen bonds mediate the characteristic L-shaped molecular structure. tRNAs have two regions of fundamental functional importance: the anti-codon, which is responsible for specific mRNA codon recognition, and the 3' end, to which the tRNAs corresponding amino acid is attached (by aminoacyl-tRNA synthetases). tRNAs cope with the degeneracy of the genetic code in two manners: having more than one tRNA (with a specific anti-codon) for a particular amino acid; and 'wobble' base-pairing, i.e. permitting non-standard base-pairing at the 3rd anti-codon position. RNAcentral also lists the same sequence under 1 other name. Lineage: Bacteria; Pseudomonadati; Verrucomicrobiota; Opitutia; Opitutales; Opitutaceae. The record is from RNAcentral.
GCCCUGGUGGUGGAAUGGUAGACACCGGAGACUUAAAAUCUCCUGCUCGAAAGAGCGUGCCGGUUCGAGUCCGGCCCAGGGCACCA